CCAGACUCCUACGGGAGGCAGCAGUGGGGGAUAUUGCACAAUGGGGGGAACCCUGAUGCAGCGACGCCGCGUGGGUGAAGGAGUGCUUCGGCAUGUAAAGCCCUAUCGGCAGGGAAGAAGCAAGACGGUACCUGACUAAGAAGCCCCGGCUAACUACGUGCCAGCAGCCGCGGUAAUACGUAGGGGGCGAGCGUUAUCCGGAUUCACUGGGUGUAAAGGGAGCGUAGACGGCCAUGCAAGCCAGGGGUGAAAGCCCGGGGCCCAACCCCGGGACUGCCCUUGGAACUGCAUGGCUGGAGUGCGGGAGGGGCAGGCGGAAUUCCUGGUGUAGCGGUGAAAUGCGUAGAUAUCAGGAGGAACACCGGCGGCGAAGGCGGCCUGCUGGACCGCGACUGACGUUGAGGCUCGAAAGCGUGGGGAGCGAACAGGAUUAGAUACCCCAGUA
RNAcentral lists this ribosomal RNA (445 nucleotides) under uncultured bacterium. Its description in RNAcentral is "bacterial SSU rRNA". It matches the Rfam family "Bacterial small subunit ribosomal RNA", at positions 331 to 792 of the family's 1533-position model. The record is from RNAcentral.